GGCCAUUAAGACGCGACCUGACCGCACGGCCGAGAGCCCCCACCCCCACCCCCGGGGGCCUCUCGGAAGCGCGGGCCCUUUAAGCGCGCCAGACGCCGCGGGAGCCAAUUGGCGCCUAACGGGCGGUUGCCAUGGCGCCGGGGGCCGGGAGCCAAUAGGGGGCGCCGUGGCUUUUCGAAUGGCCGCGAGCAGGGCCGGCGUGCCAGGCGGGCGGGGCGAGGAGGGGGCGGUGAGAGCCGGCCCACGUGGCGCGGGGGCAGUGGGGGCGCCGAGCGGCUGCCAUGGAAACCGGGCGGGAAAAAGCCCCGCGAGGCGCCGGGGAGAGGGGCCGGGGGCGAUCCGAAACCGUCUGCGAGCGGGGAGGGGCGCGGCCGAAAACAAAAGGGAGCGAUCGGAGAGAGGCGGCCGGGGGGGGGGGAGCGGGGAGGAAAAACGAGGCGAGACGGAGGGGGAUGGGGGCUGAGGCAGCCCCGCUCGCGGGGCCCGGCGGACGGCGCGGAGCGGCCCCCCGGGGUCCGUCCGCAGAGCAGCCUGCGCCGCACCCCCCAGUCCGGGCGGGGAGCGCCCCCCGCGCCGCGCCCCCCCUCAUGCCUUCCGGCCCUUGAGCGCCUUGGGCUUCGCGGACUUCUUCACCUUCUUGCCCCCGGGGGACGCGGCUCCCUUCUUGGCGGCCUUCUUGGCUUUGUCCUUCCUGGCCGCCGCGCCGCCCGCUCCCUUCUUGUGCGAUUUCUUCUCGGCCUUCUGGCUCUUGCCCGCGGGUUUCUCCGCCCGCCGGGACGCGGCGGCCGCCGCCUUCCUGGGGGCUCUGUGCGCGCCUCCGCCCGCGGCCCCGUCCCCGCCGCCCUCCAGCUUCUUCCUGUUGAGCUUGAAGGAGCCGUUGGCGCCGGUGCCCUUGACCUGCAGCAGCGUGUCGUUCUGCACCAGCGCCUUGAUGGAGUACUUCAGGGCGAUCCUGGGACCAUCCAUUACGUGUUUUUCUUACACAGAGGAUAACCUCGCACCGAGUUCCUGUGUUACUAGCUUUCUUGGCAUGACCAACAGCUGUGUCAUGCAAUAGCCAUUCGUGAUGAGUUUCUGCUCCACUGUGGGAAUGCUGCAUUUGCUCAGAGUGAUGAGGCAAAAUCCCGCUGCCUUGAAGAACACAGGAAUCCUGGCACUCAGGAGAAUGGAUGUCUGCAGAGAGGACCUUGCAGUCUAGCCCGGGUGCUUGUCAUUUGGCACAGAUGACAGUUAGAUUGGCUGUGGUUGAAAAUAAAGAGACAGUGGUAAGAAAGCGGUAAAUGGAAGUACUGAGUGGUGGCUUUUGUGUUUUACCUGGCUGUACGGACAACACACGCUUCCCCAGCAGAAUAAACACAAGGCUCAGGAGACACCAGAGCACUGUGCAGUGAACAGCCCAGCACAGCUAAUUGCUGUAGCCUGUGAAGAAAAUGGUGUUUCUCAUCUGACCACUCAAUUGAUAAUAUAAAAACUCAAUGAAACCUUAGAAAAAUGGAUUGAUUUAAAGCACAAAGCCAAUUGUUCCCAAUCACUAACAUUGCUUAGAAGAAAAACGUUUGCUGCCUUUGAGGAACCUUCACAGAGAUUAGCAGAUCCAUCAUAUUAUAGCAAACAGACAUUUACCACUGCAGAAACCUCAACAUAUUUCAGGCACUCAUCCCGCUGAACCAGGAAGUAAGAAUGUCUCCAGCUUUGAUUUGUUCCCUUUGUGACCUCUAAUCUCUAUUUACUAGUCUGUCCCAUCCAAUUAGGGAUAAUAAAACACCAUCUCUUUGCAUGUCCUUGGACUGAAAUGGAUCCUCCCUUCCUCUUGCCAGUCCAUAAAACGGCACAGUGAGCAGAAAUAGCAUGGACACAAAAAUACUCCCUGUGUGCUGAUUUCAUGGGGGCCUGCAGAGAGGUCCAGGGAGCCAGCUUGCACAUUGGCUUAGCUGAUGUUUCUCAUAGUUUCUAAUGCACUCACCCACUUCCCCUGGACAUACAGCCACCCAACCUUGGACCAUCUGCGAUGUUAAAAGCUUGGGGGGAGCCUGCUCAUUCUUCUAGUAGUUACCCAGCACAUUUCAGCUCACCAGAGUCCUGCAGUCCCUCCUCCUCGUUGCUGGUCACAGCCCUGGGAGCCUUUGUUGCCUCUUGGGUCUGGAAAGAUAAAGCUCCAGCUGACUGUCCUGUCAUCCCUGUGUGAAGCUGUCCUCUCAAGAGCUUUGCAAUGUUUUUCUCUUGCCAUCUUUUGUUUUCCAGGCCAGCUUCCUCAAAAAAUCAUUAUAAUGUUAGAACUUGCUAAAAUAAAAUUUGAAAAAGGAACUAAGCUGCAGCAAACACACAGUAUCUUGUUUUUGUACUCCAAGCAAAACCAGACUCACCCUGCUUCUUCUGGCAUUUUGUUCAUUAGAAAUCUUCUGCUCUUACAUGACCACAUAAGCAUUUCCACUGGCAAAAGCACAGCUGUAGUCUUUCGCCUGCCCUCGUCUCUAAUCCUUGCCUGCAGUACAAAUACUGCUCUGGUAAUCUACUGAUGCUUUCUCCUUUGCAGUCCUUAGCUGAUUUCUAAAUAUUACAGCAGCAACACACGAAAGUAAAACUCUAGCUCUUGACAAGACUAGAUCACCAGAUACCAACUACAGGAAGCAACUGCAAUUAUGUUAUCUUAAUGCCAGACCUCUCUAAUCCGUGCUUCUUCAGAGGUGCAGAGGAUGCUGCAUACAGCACAAGGGAUUACUGGCA
RNAcentral lists this long non-coding RNA (2724 nucleotides) under Gallus gallus (chicken). Lineage: Eukaryota; Metazoa; Chordata; Aves; Galliformes; Phasianidae. The record is from RNAcentral.